Molecule: long non-coding RNA, 1877 nt
Filed under: Haliotis rubra (blacklip abalone)
Lineage: Eukaryota; Metazoa; Mollusca; Gastropoda; Lepetellida; Haliotidae
Description: uncharacterized LOC124275946
Source: RNAcentral
CACACCUCGGCUAUAUAACGAAUGGUCUAGCUCACCCCUCAGUAUUAAAUGGUUGAUAUUACACCAGGGCGGAAGGUGGCAUAAUGCAACAGAACAUGGCUUACCGUCCUGAUAUUCCCUCAGUUUCAGGUGCGUCCAUGAAAAUUACAGACAUUAGCACAGUGUUCAAGGAGUGGGCAUGGACGACCUAUCUCAAGACACCCAGACAAGGUUUACUUUCCAGAAAGUUGAAGCUUACAGAAGCUGAUAUCGAAUUGAAAUGGCAUAGAGUGAAGAUCACGUCCCUAACGCCAAAGUACACGAAAGUUGAGGCGACUCCCCACCAAAGUACACGUUCUCUACGACUCCAAAUACAAUAACAGUACCAAGGAUGACCAAGAACAGACAUUCAGGGCUGAGAAGGAGACAGUUUCCACAGCAACCACCAAACUAACCAAAGGUUUUUCCAGGGAUAUAAACGUCGGCAUCGAACUUACCCUUCCUCCAGAUCUGGACCAACCUUCCAAAGCAGAGGCCAGCUUUGGCCAUCGACUGUAUGUGGAUAACGAGGAACAGAACACUGUUGAAAGUAAGGUCAAGUGGUCUGUGGACACCAAAAUCACCUCUAGACGUAAUGUCGUCACUGUAGCUGAACUGGCAAUAGAGGAGAAAAGCUGCCAGUAUGAGUUCUCAAUGGACGUGAAAGUUAAAGGGACGGUCCUUGCAGUCAUACGGGACGCCCGUGGUGAGAGGAGACACGUCAUGACUGUUGAGGGGACGUGGCUACCGUUCUGAGGGACAUUAAAGACAAAGACAGAUUUGGUAAACUUUUCAGUGUAGAUAUCAACAAAUCUCGAACCGUUACCUGGCCCGUGUCCGGCUCUCUCCACCUUAAAUACGGAGUGUCACAGACUGUCAAGAUAUAUCAACUAUAACCUUCGAAAAACGAGGGUUAGAAUUUUGGCAGGAACAUUUGUUCCAACUGCAGAUAUUCGGUUUUGAUUCCCCAGAUGGGAGUUAUUCAUGAAGAAUAUUUGUCGUUUCUGGAACGAGUUGUUACUGGACUGCUGCCAAUGGCAACCCUUUUUAAGUACCGAUGUCAAGCUUCGAAAAUAACUGUCAGUAACAGCAGACAUAUUGAUAAUCAAUUUCAUUUUGUACAAGUCCUUGGACCAACGUACAGACAUGGUUGAAGUGUUGUGCCUUACUCCAGAUACAUUUUAUGUCAGUUCAACCCAAGAGCAUGACAUCUAGGAGACUGUCCAUGAAUGAACUUACUGUGAAACCAACAAAAUAGACAUAUGCUGUAAUCAACGAUUAAAUGUUUUGUGAUUGAUUCCAUUAUACCCAUCAGUGUAAAAUAGUCAAUCUUCUUAAACAGGACAGAGCUUCGCGUGUGAAACUUCAUGUGUCAAACAAUGGAAAACGUUCCGAUUAUAAUGUUCUGUGUUUCCGUAUAGAUUCUCAUCGUGCAUUUGAGAAACACAAAUAGAGACGGUGUACGGAUUAACACCGAUUUAUUACAGAGAUGAAUAUGUGAGUAUGACUGUGUGGUUAACUUGUAUUGUCAACAGUUUUGUAAUGGUAACGAUAUCAGAACUGAUUUACAAUUAAUGUCAUUAUAAUACGAUACUGAUGAAUACCAUUCCAGUGUUAAUUUGCCCAUACCGUACAUAAACCAGAAGACUGUACAUCCCUAGCUGUCAUUACAUGUAUCCAUCUCGAACAAAUUUUAUUCAACUUCUAUCAGAAGAAAAAUUAUGUAUGCAAAAUGUUUACAUACAUUGCCAAUGUAACAUCGAUGUUUUAUUCAUACAAUAUAACAUGUGAUAAAUGUUUAGCUUCGGUUAGUGGAAUUAACCAUGUUGCCUUUCUUGUCGAAUAAACCUCUUCAUCAU